CAUACACACACUGCAACUCUCACAUACACUGCCACCCUCACAUACACACUGCACUGCUUACACACAAACACUUUCCCACACAUACACUGCCCCCUAACACACACACUGCAACCCUGACCUACACUGCCAUCACACACCCGCACACACACACUGCACCUUUCACACACACUUCACCCCUAACACAUACCACUGCUCCUAUGCCCUAUAUCCCAGCAGACCCCAGGUAAGUUGGCAAACUGUUCCUAAACGGUUUGACUACUUACUCUGGGAUGGGAUCCAGGCACUACUGGCGCC
Molecule: non-coding RNA, 294 nt
Organism: Pelobates cultripes (western spadefoot toad)
Lineage: Eukaryota; Metazoa; Chordata; Amphibia; Anura; Pelobatidae
Source: the annotation of a GenBank genome assembly